This 200-nucleotide ribosomal RNA is filed under the name uncultured bacterium. RNAcentral's name for it is "partial 16S ribosomal RNA". It matches the Rfam family "Bacterial small subunit ribosomal RNA", at positions 28 to 215 of the family's 1533-position model. The record is from RNAcentral.
GACGAACGCUGGCGGCGUGCCUAAUACAUGCAAGUCGAGCGGACCUUGUUAGUAGCUUGCUACUAACUGGGUUAGCGGCGGACGGGUGAGUAACACGUAGGCAACCUGCCCUUAAGAUCGGGAUAACAUUCGGAAACGGAUGCUAAGACCGGAUAAACAAUUUGGCUGCAUGGCCGGAUUGGGAAACGCGGAGCAAUCUG